UGGGGGAUAUUGCACAAUGGGGGGAACCCUGAUGCAGCGACGCCGCGUGGGUGAAGGAGUGCUUCGGCAUGUAAAGCCCUAUCGGCAGGGAAGAAUAUGACGGUACCUGACUAAGAAGCCCCGGCUAACUACGUGCCAGCAGCCGCGGUAAUACGUAGGGGGCGAGCGUUAUCCGGAUUCACUGGGUGUAAAGGGAGCGUAGACGGCCAUGCAAGCCAGGGGUGAAAGCCCGGGGCCCAACCCCGGGACUGCCCUUGGAACUGUGCGGCUGGAGUGCGGGAGGGGCAGGCGGAAUUCCUGGUG
This 303-nucleotide ribosomal RNA is filed under the name uncultured bacterium. RNAcentral describes it as "bacterial SSU rRNA". It matches the Rfam family "Bacterial small subunit ribosomal RNA", at positions 355 to 675 of the family's 1533-position model. The record is from RNAcentral.